CACUUCUUGAUUCACUAGCAGGUAUAUAUGGUUUCCCUUUGUCGCUUCCAUGCACAAAUGUUUGAUCUCUUUGCUCAUUCAGCGAUUAAAUAAUUUAAGUUUCUAUUUGAUCGUUUUCUUGCGACCAAUUACUGAUUAUGGGCAUUCUUUUAUUCAGGUUUCCAAGUUAAUUUGGCUUCAAUUUCCAUAUUUUGUACUACUUAGACCAAUUUUUUUCUACCCAAAAAGUUUCUUCCGAUUGGAUCUUUUAAGAUUAGAUCAAGCAAACUAACUCAUCUCAGGAUAAAUCCAAUUGAAUCCCACUCAACACUUGAAAUGGAAAAGUUUAGGGAACGAGAGAGGAUCUCUCAUGGUGUUUAGCUAAUUAAGUAGCGUUUAUGCAGCAUCUCUUUGAAGGAGAGGCAUGAGCAUGGCCAUAUGGCCUGUUAGAAUUAUAUCUGACUGCCAACGGGGGACUGCUAGUUCAUAUUAUCCCAGAUGGCCCACUAAUUUAUGAUGCAACUAUUUAUGGCAUAAUUGACAAGGAAAGAAAAAUUCAUUUACAUGCUAGAUAAUUGAUUUAUUCUCUGAGUGAAGCUGGGAACACAUGGCCUCCUCUGAUCCCUGAGUAUUUGAUUAAAAAAAAAAGAAGAAAAAAAUUAGUUACCACCAUUAGGAGAUAGGACUUGGAAGCACAGUGUCAACCUUCUUUCCCUUGCCUCUCAGUUUCCAAUGCUCUAGCUAGUUUACAAAGGCAGAAGUCAUAGUGCCUGACCUGAUAUAUUGGUUGUGCUGUGUUUGAAUGAUUUUUUUUUUUAAAUAGAAUAUAUUAAAAAUGAGGAAAACCUUAGCUUAAAAGGUCCAAAAAUAACCCGAAUCGAUAGAUCAAGCUAAGUAAAAAAACCUGGUAAAGUGACAUAAGAAAGAACAAGGGACACUAAAAAAGAAGGAAUCUCGUGUUUGAAUGAAUUAAUUAUUGCUUUGAAAUUGUUAUAUCAUGUAUAUUAAACCAAUGCUAAGGAACGAUAUUGGAUGACUAAUCAACAAAAAGUUUGCACCACUAAAUUUAGUCAAUUUUGUCUUGCCUAAUUUAUUUUGUCAAAUUUACUUGCUUUCCUUUGUAAAAGUUAUUAAUGACUAAGUUGGAUUAGCAUUAUGCAUCAGUUGGUCUUCAGCAAGGGGAAUAAAAAAACAAACUGUAAUUGCUACUGAUAAUGCCAAGAAUUCUGAUUUUGGAGAUUCAAUUAUAGUUACUUUUUCUUGUGGUCAAAUCUUUUUCAAAAGGAUUUCUUAGCAAGUUGUAAUUCUAGUAACAAUGUACUAUUUUAGUUAUAAUUCCUGCAUGUUGACUGUAAAGAUUACAUCAGAGGUCAAAUAUUAUGCUUUUCUUUUUUUGCCAUGUUGCUAGUUUUCUGAAUGUUGCCUUUCAUAAAUUUUUCACUAAAUGAAUUCUUCACCACAGGUAGACUCUCAAGAAAAGUGA
Molecule: unclassified non-coding RNA, 1462 nt
Filed under: Hevea brasiliensis (rubber tree)
Lineage: Eukaryota; Viridiplantae; Streptophyta; Magnoliopsida; Malpighiales; Euphorbiaceae
Source: RNAcentral